RNAcentral lists this microRNA precursor (275 nucleotides) under Oryza glumipatula. RNAcentral describes it as "MIR821 microRNA precursor family". It matches the Rfam family "MIR821 microRNA precursor family". Lineage: Eukaryota; Viridiplantae; Streptophyta; Magnoliopsida; Poales; Poaceae. The record is from Rfam by way of RNAcentral.
GAUUUCAUCUGAAAAAGUCAUCAAUAACAAAGUUGUAUAACUCAUCAAGAUCUAUAACUUAUAUUUUGGUCAUUUCUUCAUCCGACAAAGUGAUUUGUAAGAUUGUUCACAAAAUGUACAUAUCUUAUAUAGUUUUUAUAAAACUAUAUAAGAUAUGUACAUUUUGUGAACAAUCUUACAAAUCACUUUGUCAGAUGAAGAAAUGACCAAAAUAUAAGUUAUAGAUCUUGAUGAGUUAUACAACUUUGUUUUUGAUGACUUUUUCAGUUGAAAUC